This 62-nucleotide transfer RNA is filed under the name Glycinde armigera. RNAcentral's name for it is "tRNA-Ala". Lineage: Eukaryota; Metazoa; Annelida; Polychaeta; Phyllodocida; Goniadidae. The record is from RNAcentral.
CAUUUUCUAGUUUAUAUAGAACUACUGAUUUGCAUUCAGUGAGAAGGAUUUCCUGAAAAUGU